This 455-nucleotide long non-coding RNA is filed under the name Gallus gallus (chicken). Lineage: Eukaryota; Metazoa; Chordata; Aves; Galliformes; Phasianidae. The record is from RNAcentral.
UGCAGCCAUCAGAAGUUCCAGUGCAAUUUCAGGUGCAAUUGGGAAUUCAGGAAUCUCCGUAGAGCUGUUAGUAUAGCGGACCUUGUAGGUGAAAUACAUGCAUACUUUGGAUAGGACAUGGGAUGGGAUCUCUCUAAAAUUCACCUCAUUUGUUUCAUUUUCUGCAAACUGUCCUGGUCCACUCAACAUAGCUUUUAUUGUUCCUGAUGUUAAUGCAUGCUCUCUUUUUACAAUGAACUCAUGGCCAUCAGAAGAUAUUAACUUCACAUACAUAGCAUCUGGGCCCUCACACCCACCAUAUGUUUUCUCUUCUCCAUCCAUUCUCUGCUUAUAAAAAAAUUAUUUCUUUUCAACAGCAGCUUUUGCAAUAGGAGCGUCCGUCGGUGCCGCUCCCUCCGCCCCGCUCGCAGGGCCCCCGCCGUAUCGGGCCAGCUGCCUUCCAAGCGCUUCCGCUG